RNAcentral lists this long non-coding RNA (513 nucleotides) under Mus caroli (Ryukyu mouse). RNAcentral's name for it is "lncRNA (MGP_CAROLIEiJ_G0004791.1)". Lineage: Eukaryota; Metazoa; Chordata; Mammalia; Rodentia; Muridae. The record is from RNAcentral.
ACUCAUGGCAAAAUGUGGAAUUCUCUUUCUAGGCUGAAUCGUUGAGAAAGGCUGGUUGAACAAUGAAGAUCAUUUGGAGAGCCGAGCCACACUCCGUGUUUAUCAAAUUCCAAGGGGGAGAUAGUCACAAAGACCUAUUACACGAUUUGUUAUGCCUAUUGACCGUCAUGCCUGUAUGUACCUGUGCCCGUGUACGCCUGUGGGAUCAGAGCAGGGCACUGGAGCCCCUGGGACUGGAGUCACAGAUGCUUUUGACAGCCGUCUCUCCAGCCCCAGGAAUCCAAGCUCUUCCGCUGCUGAAACAAUGUUCAGAACGUGGAGCUGGGGAGUAGGCUCGGUGGUUAAGAGCACUUGUUGGUCCUGCAGAGAACGUGGAGUUCAAUUCUCAGCACCCACAUGGCAGCUCAGUUGUCUGUUACUCCAGUCUCCAAGAGCUAUGGUGUCCUCUUCUGGCCUCUGUGGGCACCACCCGUGCACACCAUGCACAGACAUACAUCCAUACACAUUCAAAAA